This 427-nucleotide ribosomal RNA is filed under the name uncultured bacterium. Its description in RNAcentral is "partial 16S ribosomal RNA". It matches the Rfam family "Bacterial small subunit ribosomal RNA", at positions 355 to 774 of the family's 1533-position model. The record is from RNAcentral.
UGGGGAAUAUUGGACAAUGGGCGAAAGCCUGAUCCAGCCAUGCCGCGUGUGUGAAGAAGGUCUUCGGAUUGUAAAGCACUUUAAGUUGGGAGGAAGGGCAUUAACCUAAUACGUUAGUGUUUUGACGUUACCGACAGAAUAAGCACCGGCUAACUCUGUGCCAGCAGCCGCGGUAAUACAGAGGGUGCAAGCGGUAAUCGGAAUUACUGGGCGUAAAGCGCGCGUAGGUGGUUUGUUAAGUUGGAUGUGAAAUCCCCGGGCUCAACCUGGGAACUGCAUUCAAAACUGACUGACUAGAGUAUGGUAGAGGGUGGUGGAAUUUCCUGUGAAGCGGUGAAAUGCGUAGAUAUAGGAAGGAACACCAGUGGCGAAGGCGACCACCUGGACUAAUACUGACACUGAGGUGCGAAAGCGUGGGGAGCAAACA